Molecule: ribosomal RNA, 459 nt
Filed under: uncultured bacterium
Lineage: Bacteria
Description: partial 16S ribosomal RNA
Rfam family: Bacterial small subunit ribosomal RNA
Source: RNAcentral
CCUACGGGAGGCAGCAGUGAGGAAUAUUGGACAAUGGCCGAAAGGCUGAACCAGCCACGCCGCGUGAGGGAAGAAUGUCCUAUGGAUUGUAAACCCCUUUUGACAGGGAGCAAAGUCACCCACGUGUGGGAGUUGAAGAGUACGUGAAGAAAAAGCAUAGGCUAACUCCGUGCCAGCAGCCGCGGUAAUACGGAGGAUGCGAGCGUUAUCCGGAUUUAUUGGGUUUAAAGGGUGCGUAGGCGGGUUAUCAAGUCAGCGGUAAAAUCGUGUAGCUCAACUCCAUCCAGCCGUUGAAACUGAUGAUCUUGAGUGGGCGAGAAGUAUGCGGAAUUCGUGGUGUAGCGGUGAAAUGCAUAGAUAUCACGCAGAACUCCGAUUGCGAAGGCAGCAUACCGGAGCCCGACUGACGCUGAAGCACGAAAGCGUGGGUAGCGAACAGGAUUAGAUACCCUUGUAGUC